RNAcentral lists this ribosomal RNA (274 nucleotides) under uncultured bacterium. RNAcentral's name for it is "partial 16S ribosomal RNA". It matches the Rfam family "Bacterial small subunit ribosomal RNA", at positions 523 to 796 of the family's 1533-position model. The record is from RNAcentral.
AUACAGAGGGUGCGAGCGUUAAUCGGAAUUACUGGGCGUAAAGCGCGCGUAGGCGGCUACUUAAGUCAGAUGUGAAAUCCCCGGGCUCAACCUGGGAACUGCAUCUGAUACUGGGUAGCUAGAGUUUAGGAGAGGGAAGUAGAAUUUCAGGUGUAGCGGUGAAAUGCAUAGAGAUCUGAAGGAAUACCAGUGGCGAAGGCGGCUUCCUGGCCUAAAACUGACGCUGAGGUGCGAAGGCGUGGGUAGCAAACGGGAUUAGAAACCCCGGUAGUCC